Camellia sinensis is the source of this 144-nucleotide non-coding RNA. Lineage: Eukaryota; Viridiplantae; Streptophyta; Magnoliopsida; Ericales; Theaceae. The record is from RefSeq and is a predicted model, not a curated record.
AGAAACUCAAAUUCUUAUCAUCCUUUGUGGGCCAGAAAAUCAAAGUGAAUGUGGUAUUGACUGACAGAAAAUCUAGAAAGUUAAUAUUUUCCGUGAAACCAAAAGAGAAGGAAGAAAUGGUUGAGAAAAAGAGAAGCCUAAUGG